GCCCCUCUCCUGCGACCUGGUCGCGGGAAAACAAACUAGCACCGCUCCCCGGGCCGAGGCCAUUCCCCCGCCCCCACCGCCGGAAGAGCUGCCCUUCCCCGAUGGGAGGGGGGCGGGAAACUUUGCGAGACGACUGUUCCGCGCCUUUCUCGCGUGGCGUCGGAGAGGAACUUGGGUGGGUUUCCCGUCCGAGGCCUGACCACACCCUCCCACUUUUCUAGGCCUCGGACCUCAACCUCGUGGACUACGGAGCGGAGAGGGACACUUCGGGCCACUCGGAGGGUGGCACCGAAGUCAGGCGUCCCCAAGGGCUCUGGCGGAUGGCCAAGUUUGUGUUCUUUCCAUCCCACGCCGGAGUAGCGCUCGCUACUUUGGGGAAGCUUCAGACUCCUCAACCCCGGCCACGAGGCCACCCCUGUCUUUAAGACCACAUAAGGAACACCCUGAUCCGUGCAUCUGUGCAGCUUGUUCCAGAGUCCCAGCCCUCACCAGCUGUGAGGUCACAUCUCUUGGAAGGCAGUCAUCUACCUCAACCAACAGCUCCGAGAUGCUGGGCAGCGGGACCAUAUCUGCCAUUUGGAGAGCUGCUGCUGGUGCUCUGGGCUGUCCUGCUCCUUCCGGUAGCCAAAGAGAGGAUGCGAUUUUUAAAAAUUCAUAUAUUCAGAUGAAGAAAAUGAAGAUCAGGGCGGCUACGUCACUCGACCAGGAUCGUGCAGCCAGCAAGUUGGGUGCCAGGACUCAAAGCAGGUCUUUCAUGAGAAGAACUCUUGUUUUUUUCUUUUGUCUCUUCCACUCCCUCCCUCUCUGUCCUCACCCCACCAUCCUCUAUCCCGGAGGUUCUCGACUUGGCCGUAUAUUGACAUCACCUGGGGAGCUUUAAAAAAUAAUAUUGCUGUUAGGCCUCCACCCUAGGAAACUGAAUCUCCAGGGUGUGACUUCAGCAUCUGUACUUUUUAUUCCCUCUUCACAGGCAGCCU
Long non-coding RNA from Balaenoptera ricei (Rice's whale), 977 nucleotides. RefSeq lists it as uncharacterized. Lineage: Eukaryota; Metazoa; Chordata; Mammalia; Artiodactyla; Balaenopteridae. The transcript is spliced from 3 exons. The record is from RefSeq and is a predicted model, not a curated record.